Molecule: ribosomal RNA, 491 nt
Filed under: uncultured bacterium
Lineage: Bacteria
Description: partial 16S ribosomal RNA
Rfam family: Bacterial small subunit ribosomal RNA
Source: RNAcentral
GUGAACGCUGGCGGUAGGCCUAACACAUGCAAGUCGAACGGCAGCACAGUAAGAGCUUGCUCUUACGGGUGGCGAGUGGCGGACGGGUGAGGAAUACAUCGGAAUCUACUUUUUCGUGGGGGAUAACGUAGGGAAACUUACGCUAAUACCGCAUACGACCUACGGGUGAAAGCAGGGGAUCUUCGGACCUUGCGCGAUUGAAUGAGCCGAUGUCGGAUUAGCUAGUUGGCGGGGUAAAGGCCCACCAAGGCGACGACCCGUAGCUGGUCUGAGAGGAUGAUCAGCCACACUGGAACUGAGACACGGUCCAGACUCCUACGGGAGGCAGCAGUGGGGAAUAUUGGACAAUGGGCGCAAGCCUGAUCCAGCCAUACCGCGUGGGUGAAGAAGGCCUUCGGGUUGUAAGGCCCUUUUGUUGGGAAAGAAAAGCAGCAGGUUAAUACCCCGCUGUUCUGACGGUACCCAAAGAAUAAGCACCGGCUAACUUCGUG